CCGCGUCACGUGAUGUCUCCUCAAUCUUGCGCGCGCGCUGUAUCUAAAAUAAAAGAAAAACUUUCCAAACUAAACAUGAAACUUCUCCGGUAACAUAAUAAUAUAGACCCUUUACAAAAACAAACAAACAAACAAACAAAUACCCCCCCCCCCCUUUUUUUUCCAAAUCAAUCAAUAAAAAAACCCAAUUAUCCAUUCAUCAGAGGGGAAAGACUGCCUAACAAUUGUUUUCAAAACAAUUGCUUUAUAUUUAUUAUUAUUAUUAUUAUUAUUAUUAUUAUUAUUUUUUUUUUUUCCGCCAACUUUUGUUCUUGCGAUAAAUGUUUGUUUCGCAAUAUGUCGCUUAGAUAUUUCUCAUAUUGUAUCGUAUAGUUUAUGCGCUUUUAAAUUUCACCCUGCUAAGACGAACAAUUUUCUCUGUAAGAGUUAUCUCCCUAUUCACUGUUUAUCAUGUGUGUGCAUCUCCUUCGUAACAAAAAAAGAUAGCG
Molecule: long non-coding RNA, 488 nt
Filed under: Mytilus galloprovincialis (Mediterranean mussel)
Lineage: Eukaryota; Metazoa; Mollusca; Bivalvia; Mytilida; Mytilidae
Source: RNAcentral